Molecule: small nucleolar RNA, 120 nt
Organism: Echinops telfairi (small Madagascar hedgehog)
Lineage: Eukaryota; Metazoa; Chordata; Mammalia; Afrosoricida; Tenrecidae
Product: small nucleolar RNA SNORA61
Exons: 1
Source: RefSeq, a predicted model, not a curated record
ACCUUCCAGUUCCCUUUCCCAUCAGAUCCAGACACUGCUCUGGGUGGUCGUAGAAGGAAGAAAAGACACAUUAAAGCUGCCUGUCAGUGUUCUUGGAGCUGGGGCUAGUUUCAAAGACGG